GACGAACGCUGGCGGCGUGCCUAACACAUGCAAGUCGAGCGAGUGAAUCUCCUUCGGGAGUGAAGCUAGCGGCGGACGGGUGAGUAACACGUGGGCAACCUGCCUCAUAGAGGGGAAUAGCCUUCCGAAAGGGAGAUUAAUACCGCAUAAGAUUGUAGAUUCGCAUGAAGUAGCAAUGAAAGGAGCAAUCCGCUAUGAGAUGGGCCCGCGGCGCAUUAGGUAGUUGGUGAGGUAACGGGUCACCAAGGGGCCGAUGCGUAGCCGACCUGAGAGGGUGAUCAGCCACAUUGGGACUGAGACACCGCCCAGACUCCUACGGGAGGCAGCAGUGGGGAAUAUUGCACAAUGGGGGAAACCCUGAUGCAGCAACGCCGCGUGAGUGAUGACGGCCUUCGGGUUGUAAAGCUCUGUCUUCAGGGACGAUAAUGACGGUACCUGAGGAGGAAGCCACGGCUAACUACGUGCCAGCCGCCGCCGUAA
This 480-nucleotide ribosomal RNA is filed under the name uncultured bacterium. Its description in RNAcentral is "partial 16S ribosomal RNA". It matches the Rfam family "Bacterial small subunit ribosomal RNA", at positions 28 to 523 of the family's 1533-position model. The record is from RNAcentral.